CGCAUCUGUGCAUGCAGCAUAUCAAUAAGCGGAGGAAAAGAAACUAACAAGGAUUCCCCUAGUAACGGCGAGUGAAGCGGGAAGAGCUCAAAUUUGAAAUCUUAAAGGGUUUCCCUUUACGAAUUGUAGUUUAAAGGAGUGUUUUCUGUUGAGGUUUUGGUAAAAGUUCUUUGGAAUAGGACAUCAUAGAGGGUGAGAAUCCCGCUAUUUGACCUUUACUUUCAACUUUGUGAUACACUUUCAAAGAGUCGGAUUGUUUGGGAAUGCAGUCCAAAAUGGGUGGUAAAUUUCAUCUAAAGCUAAAUAUUGGCGAGAGACCGAUAGCGAACAAGUACCGUGAGGGAAAGAUGAAAAGAACUUUGAAAAGAGAGUUAAACAGUACGUGAAAUUGUCAAAAGGGAAGCGUUUGACACCAGUGUUGUUUUUCUGAAAAUCAAUUAAAGAACUGUUUAUGCUAAGUUGUUUAGACUUUAUCAGCUAUCUGUUUAGUUUUGAGCUUUUCUUUAAUGCACUUUCAGUUAACAAGUCAACAUCAAUUUCUUUUGCUGUAAAAAAGCUUGAGGAAGGUGGCUUGAGAUUCGUCUUAAGUGUUUAUAGCCUCUUGCCUAUGCAGUCGGAGAGAUUGAGGUCUGCAGCGUAGAUCCUUCGGGGCUAAAUGCAUUUGUGCUAAGUUAUAGCAUUUUAUAGACAACUUGUUGACUAUGAUUUGUCUUGUAGCUUACUCGCUUAUGUUAUUUUACCUACGCUUAGGAUGUUGAACGCGCACAGAGUCUC
This 774-nucleotide ribosomal RNA is filed under the name uncultured Neocallimastigales. Its description in RNAcentral is "partial large subunit ribosomal RNA". It matches the Rfam family "Eukaryotic large subunit ribosomal RNA", at positions 26 to 614 of the family's 3401-position model. Lineage: Eukaryota; Fungi; Neocallimastigomycota; Neocallimastigomycetes; Neocallimastigales. The record is from RNAcentral.